RNAcentral lists this microRNA precursor (105 nucleotides) under Canis lupus familiaris (dog). RNAcentral's name for it is "mir-8834 microRNA precursor family". It matches the Rfam family "mir-8834 microRNA precursor family". RNAcentral also lists the same sequence under 1 other name. The record is from Rfam by way of RNAcentral. Lineage: Eukaryota; Metazoa; Chordata; Mammalia; Carnivora; Canidae.
AGGAGGAACAACCGCAGUGGCGGGGCCAGCUCUGCAGCCCUGGAGUCAGCUCCCACAGUAACUCCGGAGCUCUCCGUCUGCAGGGCCUGGAGGCUCCGGGUGGGG